AUUGAACGCUGGCGGCAGGCCUAACACAUGCAAGUCGAACGGUAACAGGAAGAAGCUUGCUUCUUUGCUGACGAGUGGCGGACGGGUGAGUAAUGUCUGGGAAACUGCCUGAUGGAGGGGGAUAACUACUGGAAACGGUAGCUAAUACCGCAUAACGUCGCAAGACCAAAGAGGGGGACCUUCGGGCCUCUUGCCAUCGGAUGUGCCCAGAUGGGAUUAGCUAGUAGGUGGGGUAACGGCUCACCUAGGCGACGAUCCCUAGCUGGUCUGAGAGGAUGACCAGCCACACUGGAACUGAGACACGGUCCAGACUCCUACGGGAGGCAGCAGUGGGGAAUAUUACACAAUGGGCGCAAGCCUGAUGCAGCCAUGCCGCGUGUAUGAAGAAGGCCUUCGGGUUGUAAAGUACUUUCAGCGGGGAGGAAGGGAGUAAAGUUAAUACCUUUGCUCAUUGACGUUACCCGCAGAAGAAGCACCGGCUAACUCCGUG
Molecule: ribosomal RNA, 490 nt
Filed under: uncultured bacterium
Lineage: Bacteria
Description: partial 16S ribosomal RNA
Rfam family: Bacterial small subunit ribosomal RNA
Source: RNAcentral